UACGUAGGGUGCGAGCGUUAAUCGGAAUUACUGGGCGUAAAGCGUGCGCAGGCGGUCUGUUAAGACCGAUGUGAAAUCCCCGGGCUUAACCUGGGAACUGCAUUGGUGACUGGCAGGCUUUGAGUGUGGCAGAGGGAGGUAGAAUUCCACGUGUAGCAGUGAAAUGCGUAGAGAUGUGGAGGAAUACCGAUGGCGGAAGGCAGCCUCCUGGGCCAACACUGGACGCUCGAUACACGAA
This 238-nucleotide ribosomal RNA is filed under the name uncultured bacterium. RNAcentral describes it as "partial 16S ribosomal RNA". It matches the Rfam family "Bacterial small subunit ribosomal RNA", at positions 524 to 757 of the family's 1533-position model. The record is from RNAcentral.